AGGUUAGCUAGCUCAUCCUAGCCCUGUUAUAUGGCGUUUUGGGCUAGUGAAGUUCAAGUAAUAUAACUAUGAUCGUAGAGGUCAGUGACGGAAUGCGUUUGGACAGGGGUUCAAUUCCCCUCAUCUCCAUAU
Molecule: transfer-messenger RNA, 132 nt
Filed under: Candidatus Lactobacillus pullistercoris
Lineage: Bacteria; Bacillati; Bacillota; Bacilli; Lactobacillales; Lactobacillaceae
Description: partial transfer-messenger RNA
Rfam family: transfer-messenger RNA
About the family: Bacterial tmRNA, also known as 10Sa RNA or SsrA, is named for its dual tRNA and mRNA-like properties. Its role is to liberate the mRNA from a stalled ribosome. To accomplish this part of the tmRNA is used as a reading frame that ends in a translation stop signal.
Source: RNAcentral